CACAAAACUGUUCAAGCAAAGAAACUAGCAAACCCAUCAACCACAUUUUCUACACAGAGAAAACAAAAGAAAAUAUAAAGAAACUCAUAUAUAAAAAUCCCUCCUCCAUCCAUGUCCUUCUUCCUCAACAAACACAAACCCUAAUCUCCAUUUCUACAUUAACCAUGUCCUUGAGUCCCCACCACCCUCGAGUUACACUCAAUGGCAACCCAAGAACGCCAACGUUUGAUUACUUAUGGUGCCAAACUUGCAGACGACCCUUAAGGUUCACGUUCACCUCCAUGAACCCACAUGAAAACUUCUGUCCUCGUUGCUUUAAUGUGCUGAGCCAUGUGCCUGAAAUAUCAAGGCCUCUGCGGCUAGACCUGACCCAUUUUGAACCCCCUCCGGCUUCACGGUUGGUGGACUCGUUAGCACUAAUGAUUCCUCCUUCAAUAAGGAGGAGAUAUCCUGAAUUUGAUAGAAGAAUUCGUCGGGAAUCUGAUCCUCCUCUUCGACAAAGACUACCCAUGAGUGCACCACCACAUGCGGUGGUUCCCGGCCAUAUUGAUAUGGCUGAUAAUGACAGACCAGUGCCUCCUGCGCCAGCUUCAGCCAUUGAGACGCUGCCAAUGGUGAAGAUAACACAGGAACAUUUGAUGAAGGACACGAAUUGUCCUGUGUGUAAGGAUGAAUUUGAGGUUGAUGUGGAGGUGAGGGAGCUUCCAUGCAAGCAUUUUUAUCAUUCUGAUUGUAUUGUUCCUUGGUUGAACAUACACAAUUCUUGCCCAGUUUGCCGGAAGGCGGUGGUUGAUGGUUUUGAGGAUCAUCUCCGGCUAGAAAAUGUUCAGUCUUUUGGCUUUGAAGAUGUGGCAAAUAGCAUGAAUUGGCUGAGGAACCAGUUCCUUUCUCUGUGGCCUGUACGUGCAUUUUCAGAUUGGACUCAGAGAUCUCUUGAUUUCUUGGACAACAGGGUUUCAUCUUCUAGUGGAGCUAAUUCAUGGUGGCGUUCUUUGUUUAUUUUAUGACUUUGCAUAUCAAUCACUCUUCAUAAUGGAAGCUGUACAAUGCCUUAUAAUUGAAUCAUUUCUUAAGUAGCCAGGCAGGUAUAUCUAAUUUAUGCUAAAAUUUCCAAAAUUGCAAAGCUGAAAAAAGUAUUGAAGCUUAAACAGGUGCUGAAAUGGACAGCAAAAUAAAAUGUUCAGUAUUGGUCUCUGCAGUUUCAAGGAUUCACUUCUAUGCUGGGAUGUACAUUGAUGGAUGAAACAUGAUUUUUCUUGAUGGAGAAGGAAGCAUUGUACUGUUACAGUCUUCACAUAAUGAAGGCUACUUCAGAUUUCAGAAAAUGCAAUCUGAGUUGGAAAGGGGGAUUGAAUUAGUACAUAUAUAUAUUGUAAUUUCCUUCUAUAAUUGGAUUGAUUAAUUAAGUUGAGAGAUUAUGAUUACAGUUAUA
Molecule: RNA transcript, 1432 nt
Organism: Manihot esculenta (cassava)
Lineage: Eukaryota; Viridiplantae; Streptophyta; Magnoliopsida; Malpighiales; Euphorbiaceae
Gene name: E3 ubiquitin-protein ligase AIRP1
Exons: 4
Source: RefSeq, a predicted model, not a curated record